CCUACGGGAGGCAGCAGGGAGGAAUAUUGGUCAAUGGGCGCGAGCCUGAACCAGCCAAGUAGCGUGAAGGAUGACGGCCCUACGGGUUGUAAACUUCUUUUAUAAAGGAAUAAAGUGAGGCACGUGUGCCGUGUUGUAUGUACGUUAUGAAUAAGGAACGGCUAACUCCGUGCCAGCAGCCGCGGUAAUACGGAGGAUCCGAGCGUUAGCCGGAUUUAUUGGGUUUCAAGGGAGCGUAGUGGUGUUGUUAAGUCAGUUGUGAAAGUUUGCGGCUCAACCGUAAAAUUGCCAUUGAUACUGGCAGUCUUGUGUACAGUUGAGGUAGGCGUCAUUCGUGGUGUAGCGG
RNAcentral lists this ribosomal RNA (346 nucleotides) under uncultured bacterium. RNAcentral's name for it is "partial 16S ribosomal RNA". It matches the Rfam family "Bacterial small subunit ribosomal RNA", at positions 338 to 681 of the family's 1533-position model. The record is from RNAcentral.